This is a ribosomal RNA of 454 nucleotides. It matches the Rfam family "Bacterial small subunit ribosomal RNA", at positions 341 to 792 of the family's 1533-position model.
ACGGAAGGCAGCAGUGAGGAAUAUUGGUCAAUGGGCGGAAGCCUGAACCAGCCAAGUCGCGUGAAGGAUGAAGGUAUUAUGUAUUGUAAACUUCUUUAGACGUAGAGAAAUAAGGCGCUCGUGAGCGCUGAUGCUAGUAUACGUAGAAUAAGGAUCGGCUAACUCCGUGCCAGCAGCCGCGGUAAUACGGAGGAUCCGAGCGUUAUCCGGAUUUACUGGGUGUAAAGGGCGCGUAGGCGGGGAUGCAAGUCAGAUGUGAAAUCUAUGGGCUUAACCCAUAAACUGCAUUUGAAACUGUAUCUCUUGAGUGCUGGAGAGGUAGAUGGAAUUCCUUGUGUAGCGGUGAAAUGCGUAGAUAUAAGGAAGAACACCAGUGGCGAAGGCGAUCUACUGGACAGUAUCUGACGCUGAGGCGCGAAAGCGUGGGGAGCAAACAGGAUUAGAUACCCUGGUA